GGAGCCCCAGCCCCGGGAGUCCCAGGUGUUCCCAUUCUGUGAUCAGCACAGAACACAGAAACCUCACCAUGGAGUUUGUGCUGGGCUGGGUUUUCCUGGUUGCUCUUUUAAAAGGUGUCCAGUGUGACGUGCAGCUGGUAGAGUCGGGGGGAGACCUGGUGAAGCCUGGGGGGUCCCUGAGACUCACCUGUGUGGCCUCUGGAUUCACCUUCAGUAGCUAUAGAAUGAACUGGGUCCGCCAGGCUCCAGGGAAGGGCCUGCAGUGGGUCGCAUAUAUUAAAUAUGAUGGAAGUAGCAUAUACUACGCAGACUCCGUGAAGGGCCGAUUCACCAUCUCCAGAGACAACGCCAAGGACACGCUGUAUCUGCAGAUGAACAGCCUGAAGACCGAGGACACGGCCACAUAUUACUGUGCAAGACACACGGUGAGGGGACCUCACUGGGAGCGCACACACAAACCUCCCUGCAGGAGGGCAUCAGCACCACCAGGGGGCGCACACUAG
Molecule: non-coding RNA, 503 nt
Organism: Neofelis nebulosa (Clouded leopard)
Lineage: Eukaryota; Metazoa; Chordata; Mammalia; Carnivora; Felidae
Source: the annotation of a RefSeq genome assembly